GUUGUCGUCAGUUCGUGUCGUGAGAUGUUGGGUUAAGUCCCGCAACGAGCGCAACCCCUAUCUUCAGUAGCCAGCACGAAAGGUGGGCACUCUGGAGAGACUGCCAGGGACAACCUGGAGGAAGGUGGGGAUGACGUCAAAUCAUCAUGCCCCUUAUGACCAGGGCUACACACGUGCUACAAUGGCGUAAACAAAGGGAAGCGACCACGUGAGUGUAAGCGAAUCCCAAAAAUAACGUCUCAGUUCGGAUUGUAGUCUGCAACUCGACUACAUGAAGCUGGAAUCGCUAGUAAUCGCGAAUCAGAAUGUCGCGGUGAAUACGUUCCCGGGUCUUGUACACACCGCCCGUCACACCAUGGGAGUCAGUAACGCCCGAAGCCGGUGACCCAACCAGUUCUGGAGGGAGCCGUCGAAGGUGGGACCGAUAACUGGGGUGAAGUCGUAACAAGGUAGCCGUAUCGGAAGGUGCGGCUGGAUCACCUC
Molecule: ribosomal RNA, 483 nt
Filed under: uncultured bacterium
Lineage: Bacteria
Description: bacterial SSU rRNA
Rfam family: Bacterial small subunit ribosomal RNA
Source: RNAcentral